Molecule: long non-coding RNA, 240 nt
Filed under: Elaeis guineensis (African oil palm)
Lineage: Eukaryota; Viridiplantae; Streptophyta; Magnoliopsida; Arecales; Arecaceae
Description: long non-coding RNA (EGUI_LNC047884)
Source: RNAcentral
GUCGGACUCUGAACUUCUACCGCAAGCGAUCUACCCCGAGCUCCCAUUGUGGAUGCAUUCCUUUCGAAUUUCUAUCACCGGUAGGCUUCGACCGAACCCCUCGACAAAUGAUCCCCAUCCGAGCUUUUACAGAGAUCGGACUCCGACCGAACUCCUAUAGCGGACAAAUGUUGGGUUCACGAAAUCCAGCAGCUGGACCCCUCCAGCAGAUGAAUCUCUCCAGCACCAUCUGACAUCCAC